This 270-nucleotide unclassified non-coding RNA is filed under the name Hevea brasiliensis (rubber tree). Lineage: Eukaryota; Viridiplantae; Streptophyta; Magnoliopsida; Malpighiales; Euphorbiaceae. The record is from RNAcentral.
GGAAAUACAAACUUGAGAAUGUGUAGUGAUAAUGAAGUUUGAGAAAGAGAAUCCUGAAUGGGUUGUUAACAUUUUCAUCAUGUUGUGCUGCAUUCUUAGGAGAAUGCUCAUGGAGCAUAAAACACUAUGCGCACUUGUGCCUCCCUCUUGCACAGUUGACAGAUGGCAGUUUAGUGGGACAACCAACCACUCAUGCCUACCCAUGAUUUCAUCAGCAGUAUCCUAUCGUAUUACUGGGAUAUUGUCUAUCACGUGGCUAAAACAACAAAG